UAGUCUACGCCGUAAACGAUGGAUACUAGUUGUUUGGCCUUCGGGCUGAGUGACUAAGCGAAAGUGAUAAGUAUCCCACCUGGGGAGUACGUUCGCAAGAAUGAAACCCAAAGGAAUUGACGGGGGCCCGCACAAGCGGUGGAGCAUGUGGUUUAAUUCGAUGCAACGCGAAGAACCUUACCAGAGCUUGACAUGUCGCAAAUUUUUACGAAAGUUUAAAGUGCCUUAGGGAAUGCGAACACAGGUGGUGCAUGGCUGUCGACAGCUCGUGCCGUGAGGUGUUGGGUUAAGUCCCGCAACGAGCGCAACCCCUAUCUUUAGUUGCCAGCAUGUAAUGAUGGGGACUCUAAAGAGACUGCCCGUGUAAACGGUGAGGAAGGUGGGGAUGACGUCAAAUCAGCAUGGCCUUUAUGCCUAGGGCUACACACGUGCUACAAUGGCAAGAACAACGGGUUGCAACAUGGUGACAUGAAGCUAAUCUCUAAAAUCUUGUCUCAGUUCGGAUUGG
Molecule: ribosomal RNA, 508 nt
Filed under: uncultured bacterium
Lineage: Bacteria
Description: bacterial SSU rRNA
Rfam family: Bacterial small subunit ribosomal RNA
Source: RNAcentral